CCUGCUAAUAUGUGAAUUAUUUUAAACACUGCAUCUAGAAAAGACUUCUUUCACUUUUUAGCUCCAAGAAUAUAGUGGGCCUAUAUAAAUAGCAAGAGUGACCCCUGACAUCACAAUGCUCUCUUCUUAGCUUUAGAGGGGUCACAACAGUUGCCACUUAGAAAGUCUGCCUAAAAAGAAAUAGGUCAUGGCAUGAGGAGAACUCAAAAGCACAGAACAGUAAAGAGACAUCCAAAUUUCAUCAAUGCAAGGAAUAAAGAUGCUACAAACAUUUCUAACUUUACAUAGGAUUUACUCUUUAGUAGAUGACUUUGACAACCAAGGACAUAGAAGAUGAUACUAUUCUAAGCCAGUACUAAUUAAGGCUGACAUUUCUUCAAGC
This 382-nucleotide long non-coding RNA is filed under the name Fukomys damarensis (Damara mole-rat). RNAcentral describes it as "lncRNA (ENSFDAG00000025173.1)". Lineage: Eukaryota; Metazoa; Chordata; Mammalia; Rodentia; Bathyergidae. The record is from RNAcentral.